RNAcentral lists this ribosomal RNA (253 nucleotides) under uncultured bacterium. RNAcentral describes it as "partial 16S ribosomal RNA". It matches the Rfam family "Bacterial small subunit ribosomal RNA", at positions 524 to 776 of the family's 1533-position model. The record is from RNAcentral.
CACGUAGGGCGCAAGCGUUGUCCGGAAUUAUUGGGCGUAAAGAGCUCGUAGGCGGUCUGUUGCGUCCGCUGUGAAAACUCGGGGCUUAACCCCGAGCCUGCAGUGGAUACGGGCAGACUAGAGGUAGGUAGGGGAGAAUGGAAUUCCCGGUGUAGCGGUGAAAUGCGCAGAUAUCAGGAGGAACACCAAUGGCGAAGGCAGCUCGCUGGAACGGUACUGACGCUGAGGCGCGAAAGCGUGGGGAGCGAACAGG